UUCAAGUAUAAAUGUGAUUUUCCGUGUUUAAUUUUAAUCGUCCGUUUUAUUUAAAAUCUUUUUAUAAAUUAGUAUUUUUUGUUGUUAUAGGUGAUAAAAUAUGAAUAGUACUUUACUCGUGACUUAUAUUUUUAAUUUGUUUUUAAUUUUUUUAAAUAAGACAGAUGAUUAAAGUUGGGCGCGAAAAACCAUGGCUACACUUAAA
This is a non-coding RNA of Oryza glumipatula, 205 nucleotides long. The record is from Rfam. Lineage: Eukaryota; Viridiplantae; Streptophyta; Magnoliopsida; Poales; Poaceae.